AUAGGAAGAUUGGUCCGACCUUUUUACAUGGUGGAGCUAUCAACACAUGGUGGAGAAAUCAUUACACCUUACACCUCUCUCUCUCUCUCUCUCUCGAUCUCGAUCUCGAUCUCCAAUAUUAUUGUGAGCGGUGUAUGCGCGCGCGGAGUCAAUGGAGGAUGAUUUAUUCCAAUCUUCUCAUUGUUUGUCCCUUCCCUCUCCCCACAAGAAAAUGAACAAUAUUUUCUCUUCUUCUCGUUUUCUACUCGCUUCAUUUCCUUUAUUCUUCCUCUCCUUGUUCUCCACAUCUUGACUCCUGUUACUUUAUGGAUACCUUUCCCUCUCCUCUCUCGCUCUCAUAAAUUUUUCACAGCAAUGGGAGGCUGCCCAGGGCAAACGUAACGUGGGGCGGAGGCAAUGGAAAUGGAGGUGGGCAACCUGCCAAGGGAGCUCUGUUGGAUUCUCUUUGUAAAACCUAUGUGAUGAUUGGAUUCUAACAUUCAUGUUCAUGCGCUCUCUAAAUAGUAAAGAAAGAGAUAAAGGUAAGUACGAGCACCCUUUUGAUCCUUACUGCAACAUCUCUCAUUUCUUUGUUUUGUUUCCUUUGCUUCCAUCAUGCAAUAUCAUGAUGCCUGGCAUUGACUGCCCAUUUUUAUGAUCGUUAUCUGUUAUUAUGUUUUCUAGGAAAAUUAUCUGUUGCCAAACUCCUAUUGCAGCUAUUCGCAUUACUCCUUUUUUUUCCCUUGUUGUGUUUUUUUUUAGCAAUGGCAUAUCCAUUAAUUCAUCCACGAGUGAGAGGAAUGGACGAAGCCGUAAAAGUUCAGGUGCUGCUAACAACUGAAGCUUCCUUUCUGCAUUGAUUGAGAAAAUGAAAGGGUCAAAAGUUGUGCUUCAUUAGAAAGCUUAGUUUUAUUUUUCUUACCUUCUAGGCUUUCCAGUCUCCAAAACCAUAUAAAAACAAACCAAUAUUUAGUUCUUCUGGAAUACUUUCUUUUGGUCCCAAAUGCAAAAGCAUUCCUGCUUUCUCUCUCCAUUGAAUUGUGAGACAUAGCUGACCUUUCUUUCUAACUACUUUCUUCUUCUCUCAUUCUGCUCCUUCUUUGUCUUUCUUCUUUUUUUUUUGGCGCAGGGGGGGAUGAAGCUCCCGGCCACUUUAAUUUUCUUUCAAACGGAAAAAAGAACAAGUGAUUAUUAUGGGAUCGAUGCUUAGACGACCACCUUCAAUAUUUAUAAAAUCUAAUUCCUGCUACUUCUAAAGUCUAGUUUAUUUUCUCUUCUUUUUUUGUUCCUUAACAGAUACUUAACUCGGUUGAGGUUUUCAUGCCGUACACAAUGGGCUUGGAGAGAAAGGAAAGAGGCGAUGGUGAUACAUCGAGACAUGCAUCCCUCAUCAAUGUUAGUAAAUAAAUUAAUAUAGUAAGUAGAACAAACGCACGAAUCCUCCUAUCAACACUGCGCGUCUGGAGAAACGAUACCUGAGAGAGAUCUUGAUAUCCACGCAUCUAAAGAGGAGCAAUCACAAUUGGGAGAAGGAUUGAUCCUGCAACUGGACUGCCUCUUCCAUGGCUGACACAAGAUUAAUUAGUCCAUGUCGUUACAAGGUGGUGGGGGGCAAGUGAGAAAGGUAAUUCAAAGCCUUAACUUACAGAAGCUCACAGGCCGAGUACGUACACGUACCUCGGUACUGGAUUAAGUUGGCGUGGCAGAGAUGGUGGGUCCACUUGAGAUCAAAGAUUUUAAACAUAAGCUCGGAUGCAAAGUCUCACAGGCUCAAGCAUUACACAAGUUAGACUGACUAAGUUGGGCAGCUUCGCUAACAAUUCUUGGCGUGGCCCGAGUUGUAAAUUUUUUUUACUGUCGAUGAAUGUAAAUAAUUUUAAUAGGCUAAAAAAAAAUUGGUGAGAUUUCUCUGGAUCAAGUUCGCGGCUAGCCGAGUUUGUAAAAAACUUUUACAACCGAUGUAUAUAAAGAAUUUUAAUAGGUCGAAAAAAUAUUGGUGAGAUUUCUCUUAAUCAAGCUCACAAAAGAUAGAUAUGUGUUGGGACUAGCUGAUUGCAAGAAUUUUCAACAACUAGCAUGAUUUUUUUUUGUAUGAAUGAACUGAAAAUUUUAUAGGAUUCAUAAAUUAAGACAACAUAUCCGGCAAGAUUAUAGGCUACAUGGUGAUUAGGUUUGUAUUUAUAAAAUAUUUAAAAAUAACUUUGGGGUGAAGGACCUCUGCAUUCGAAAAUAGCCGGUCUAUUUUCUCAACCUUUUCUUCUCUCCUCUCUCUCUCUCCCCCAAACUCCCAAUCGAGCUCUUUGGGGUGAAGGAUCUGUAUGGUUUUCUCCCUCUUUUCUCUCUUCCAUCCGAGCUCUUUCCCCUCUCUACCGUUCUCUUCUCUCGUCUCUCUCUCUCUCUCUCCCUCUUAAUCUAUCUC
Phoenix dactylifera (date palm) is the source of this 2398-nucleotide long non-coding RNA. RefSeq lists it as uncharacterized. Lineage: Eukaryota; Viridiplantae; Streptophyta; Magnoliopsida; Arecales; Arecaceae. The record is from RefSeq and is a predicted model, not a curated record.